CAAUAGCGUAUAUUAAAGUUGUUGCAGUUAAAAAGCUCGUAGUUGGAUUUCUGGUAGGAGUGACCGUUCCGAACUUGAUUGUUCGUGUAUUGUGUUUUCUCCAGCCAUCCUUGUGGAGAACUUUUCUUGCAUUAAUUUGUAGGGAUUGGGACCCGCAUCGUGUACUGUGAAAAAAUUAGAGUGUUUAAAGCAGGCAAUCGCUUGAAUACAUUAGCAUGGAAUAAUAAGAUAGGACUUUGGUACUAUUUUGUUGGUUUGCAUACCAAAUUAAUGAUCAACAGGAACAGUUUGAGGAUAUUCGUAUGAACAUGUCAGAGGUGAAAUUCUUGGAUUUUGAUCAGACGAACUACUGCGAAAGCAUUUAUCAAGGAUGUUUUCAUUAA
Molecule: ribosomal RNA, 383 nt
Filed under: uncultured eukaryote
Lineage: Eukaryota
Description: partial 18S ribosomal RNA
Rfam family: Eukaryotic small subunit ribosomal RNA
Source: RNAcentral